GAGUUUGAUCCUGGCUCAGAUUGAACGCUGGCGGCAUGCCUUACACAUGCAAGUCGAGCGGCAGCGCGGGGGCAACCCUGGCGGCGAGCGGCGAACGGGUGAGUAAUGCAUCGGAACGUGUCCUCUUGUGGGGGAUAACCAGUCGAAAGACUGGCUAAUACCGCAUGAGAUCGAGAGAUGAAAGCAGGGGACCGCAAGGCCUUGCGCGAGAGGAGCGGCCUAUGCCGGAUUAGCUAGUUGGUGGGGUAAAGGCCUACCAAGGCGACGAUCCGUAGCUGGUCUGAGAGGACGACCAGCCACACUGGGACUGAGACACGGCCCAGACUCCUACGGGAGGCAGCAGUGGGGAAUUUUGGACAAUGGGGGAAACCCUGAUCCAGCCAUGCCGCGUGUGUGAAGAAGGCCUCGGUUGUAAG
RNAcentral lists this ribosomal RNA (416 nucleotides) under uncultured beta proteobacterium. RNAcentral describes it as "bacterial SSU rRNA". It matches the Rfam family "Bacterial small subunit ribosomal RNA", at positions 9 to 429 of the family's 1533-position model. The record is from RNAcentral. Lineage: Bacteria; Pseudomonadati; Pseudomonadota; Betaproteobacteria.